Long non-coding RNA from Homo sapiens (human), 771 nucleotides. RefSeq lists it as uncharacterized. Lineage: Eukaryota; Metazoa; Chordata; Mammalia; Primates; Hominidae. The transcript has 3 exons. The record is from RefSeq and is a predicted model, not a curated record.
UCAGAUGUUGCCAUCCUAACUUCAGAAUGGGAUUGUAUUUGGAAAUAGAAUCUUUAAAGAGGUAAAGUUAAAAGGAGGUCAUAGAUGUGGGCCCUAAUCUAAUACAAAUUGUGUGCUUAUAAAAAGAGGAGAUUGGGACACAGCCACACACAGAGGGAAGACCAUGUGAAGACACGCAAGAGAAAAGACAGCCAUCUAGAAGCCAAAGAGAGAGGCCUUAGAAGAAACCAACCUUGCCAAACACCCUGAUCUCAGGCUUCAAACUUCCAGCACAGCACACUGCCGAUCAAAUCAUCCCUGAUGAUUGUCUCAUGGCACCAUCGUGCUUCUGCCGUCUUGUUCCUGCACCACCACAGACACUCAGGAGCUCUCAAGGGGCCUGGACUGUAUAGUGUUCUGUGGCACAACAGGCACCUCAAUCUCAUGCAAGUACAGUUAAAGAGCAUCAGAUCUGCGCUGCCCUCAUGGAAAUGCUCAGCUUCUGAUGUGCAUGUGACGUGGUGUUGGAGAAUGCUCAGGGGACAGACCCAGGAGCUGCUGCCCAAGGAUUCUUUGACAGAAUCCCAAUCCGGGAUUCUUUGGAGGCUUUUUCUCUGCAGUAUACAAAUAACCCUGAGUAUUGAGCCCUUCCUGAGAUCAAAGUUAAACAUGAGAGCUAAAGGUAGAGCUAGAGGACAUAGGGAAAUGCAAACCCAGUAAAGCUCUGGGGAAAGAGGCUCGCCUAUGCACUCUGCAGAACCUCUACCUCCAGCUUCAAUGUCUGCACCCAAG